CGCCCUCCGCCAUAUUUGUGACUGGCAGCUCCCUGUUAUAGCUCAGCCACGUGGCCUGCAGUGAGUGGAGGCCCUGAUUUAUAGUUCACGUCAGGUAACCCGACACCAGGGCGGAUUUGCCCUUUUGGAAGAUGGCGGAGGCUGAGGUGGGCGCUCUGGUUCGUCAGAAUCUCUAUGGUCGCCCCCUUAUAAAAGGAAGCUGUGGGGCCCUGUCUCGUUCUCUUUGUGCCGAGCUGCAGACUUCUGCUGCAGGGACAGAAGACUGGGCAUUCAGGACAGAAGUUUGAAAAAAACCAACAAUUGAAGACUUAUAUACACUGCUCAAAAAUAAAGGGAACACUUAAACACAAUGUAACUCCAAGUUAAUCAUGCUGUCCAAUCGGGAAGCAACACUGACAAUCUAUUUCACAUGCUGUUGUGCAAAUGGAACAGACAGGUGGAAAUUCUAGGCAAUUGGCAGGACACCCCAAUGAAGGAGUGGUUCUGCAGGUGGUGACCACAGACCACUUCUCCAUUCCUAUUCUUCCUGGCUGAUAUUUUGGUCACUUUUGAAUGCUGGCAGUGAUUUCACUCUAGUGAUAGCAUGAGACAGUGUACAGCCCACACAAGUGGCUCAGGUAGUGGAGCGCAUCCAGGAUGACACAUCAAUGUGAGCUCUGGUAAGGUUUUCUGUCGGUGUAGUGUCCAGAGCAUGGAGGCACUACCAGGAGACAGGCCAGUACAUCAGGAGACGUGGAGGCCGUAGGAGGGAAACAACCCAGCAGCAGCUGCUACCUCCACCUUUGUGCAAGGAGGAGCACUGCCAGAGCCCUGCAAAAUGACCUCCCGCAGGCCACAAAUGUGCAGGUGUCUACUCAAAUGGUCAAACAGACUCCAUGAGGCUGGUAUGAGGGCCCGACAUCCACAGGUGGGGGUUGUGCUUACAGCCCAACACAGUGCAGGAUGUUUGGCAUGUGCCAGAGAACAGAUUGGCAAAUUUGCCACUGGCCCCCUGUGAUCUUCAGAUGAAAGCAGGUUCACACUGAGCACAUGUGACAGUCCAGACACCAUGGAGAACGUUCUGUUGCCUGCAACAUCCUCCAGCACGACCAGUUUGGCUGUGGGUCAGUGAUGGUGAGGGGGGGCGGCAUUUCUUUGGGGGGCUGCACAGCCCUCCAUGUGCCUGCCAGAGGUAGCCUGAUUGCCAUUAGGUACAGAGGUGAGAUUCUCAGACCCCUUGUGAGACCAUAUGCUGUUUGUUUUUCUUCCAGUUGCUCUUAAAAACAAAAAAAAAAAUCUUAUCUGGAAAUUGUGUAAUGUUGUUAGAAUAAAACAGAACUGCUUUUAUUCAAAUUAACUAA
Molecule: long non-coding RNA, 1340 nt
Organism: Hyla sarda
Lineage: Eukaryota; Metazoa; Chordata; Amphibia; Anura; Hylidae
Exons: 3
Source: RefSeq, a predicted model, not a curated record